Molecule: long non-coding RNA, 793 nt
Organism: Vanessa tameamea
Lineage: Eukaryota; Metazoa; Arthropoda; Insecta; Lepidoptera; Nymphalidae
Exons: 2
Source: RefSeq, a predicted model, not a curated record
GCGUUUAUAUAUUUGGCAAUGUUUACAUUCCCGUUUUUCGACAAGAACGUCAAAAUUCCUUCUGGUCGUUUUUCCACCCCGUAGAUAUUAGAUAUUGCACUUGUGCAUUUACUCGUAUGUGUACGCUAUUAUAUCUGUUGUACAAGUGGUCAAUCUCAGUUAGGCAUGCCUGCCGUAACUUGAACGGGUCAGCAGAACAUCAUCAUCACCUUAUAUACACGAGAAAAUUAGAGUAUAGCUGCAGUAUUCCUAUUUUAUUAUAAAUAUUUAUUGCAUAUUAUAAAUCUACAUUCUGAAUUUAUUUCUUAUGAUCUCAUACGAUGUAAUACUCGGAAGAGAUCACGCAUAGUAAAUCGUGAUUAUAAUAUACUUCAAAAAUCUAUAAAUAAAGCUUCCAUUAUUAUAUUUACUUCACUCGAGCACGAUGAUACUGUCAAGGGAACUGUUAGUUUCCAUUUAUUUCGUAUGUAUAUAUUGUGUUGAUGGUGAAUCGAAUAACUACCGAGACGAAAAAGUUGUACUAGUGGCACCCGUUUUAGCUCCUAUUAAGAAUCCACGCGCAAGAGUCGUGGAAACUGCAAAGGAUUUUCCUAUAAUAAGAUUAUUAUCUACGGACAACACGACAAAAACAAAUGACACCGACCGCAAAGAAGAUCCACAACCUAUAUAUGUUGAAAAAAUCGAAGACCAAGUCCACAGACGUAAAAGAUUAUCCGGAUACAAUUAAAUUAUUCAAUCUGGGCAUAAUUUAAAUAAUAUUGUAAUUGGAUAUAAAACCAUUAUUAUUAUGAUG